RNAcentral lists this unclassified non-coding RNA (253 nucleotides) under plant metagenome. RNAcentral's name for it is "partial contains small subunit ribosomal RNA and internal transcribed spacer 1". The stretch from base 1 to 46 matches the Rfam family "Eukaryotic small subunit ribosomal RNA", at positions 1786 to 1831 of the family's 1831-position model. The record is from RNAcentral.
AAGUCGUAACAAGGUUUCCGUAGGUGAACCUGCGGAAGGAUCAUUAAAGAGUUAGGGUCCUAGUGGCCCCAAGCCUCAACCUCCUGCUUGCUUAAAACUAACCUUGUUGUCUUUUUGGGCGGGGUGACCCGGGUUUCCGGUUCCUCCGGACGCCGGUUUAAACCCUUCGGGGUUGGCGAGCGCCCGCCAGAGUCCCAACCAAACUCUUGUAUUAAACCAGUCGUCUGAGUAUAAAAUUUUAAUUAAAUUAAAA